CAGGGAGUCGGAAAAACAAACUUGAAAAGUAUAGCGGUUCGUUAUCAUGAAAGAUGCAGGUGAAUCGCUAAGUGAAGCUGAGUUGCAGUAGACGCUCGGCGGAGGGUAAGUUGGCUGUAUAUUUUCUGAAACAAAUUCCCCAUUAUCA
This is a long non-coding RNA of Ornithodoros turicata, 148 nucleotides long. RefSeq lists it as uncharacterized. The record is from RefSeq and is a predicted model, not a curated record. Lineage: Eukaryota; Metazoa; Arthropoda; Arachnida; Ixodida; Argasidae. The transcript is spliced from 3 exons.